Non-coding RNA from Hydra vulgaris (swiftwater hydra), 332 nucleotides. The record is from RefSeq and is a predicted model, not a curated record. Lineage: Eukaryota; Metazoa; Cnidaria; Hydrozoa; Anthoathecata; Hydridae.
CGAAGAUUAAAUUUAAAUUGAUUGCUGAGGAUACUAAAUUUAGAAGAGUGCAAUUCUCAAACCGUAUUAAAGAUGCUUUGUCAAGAAUAAAGUAGUAAGGGAAAGAGUGUUUCCAGUUUGCUUUCCUUCAAAAAGUUCUCAUACUGGUCAUUUUACUAGAGAUGAUACUUAUUACUUAAGUAUAAAGACGUCCAAAACUUGUGUUGUUUAAAGAAUCUUAAUGUAAGUAAAGAUGUUACUACAAAAUAAUAACAGUUUAUGUGAUUAGGAAAUUAUUUGUUUAUUUAGUAUAAGGUUUAAGUCUAUAAUAUAUUUUUUGAGUUAUUGUUUUU